RNAcentral lists this ribosomal RNA (406 nucleotides) under uncultured bacterium. RNAcentral's name for it is "partial 16S ribosomal RNA". It matches the Rfam family "Bacterial small subunit ribosomal RNA", at positions 30 to 526 of the family's 1533-position model. The record is from RNAcentral.
AUUGAACGCUGGCGGCAGGCCUAACACAUGCAAGUCGAGCGAGCGGCGGACGGGUGAGUAAUGUAUGGGGAUCUGCCCGAUGGAGGGGGAUAACUACUGGAAACGGUGGCUAAUACCGCAUACUAUCAGAUGAACCCAUAUUGGAUUAGCUAGUAGGUGGGGUAAAGGCUCACCAAGGCGACGAUCUCUAGCUGGUCUGAGAGGAUGAGCAGCCACCCUGGGACUGAGACACGGCCCAGACUCCUACGGGAGGUAGCAGUGGGGAAUAUUGUACAAUGGGCGGAAGCCUGAUGCAGCCAUGCCGCGUGAAUGAAGAAGGCCUUAGGGUUGUAAAGUUCUGUCAGCGGGGAGGCGGUUCCCGAAGAAGAAGCACCGGCUAACUCCGUGCCAGCAGCCGCGGUAAAAC